GCAGCAAUAGCAUCAAUUUGAAAUCUGGCGUCUUCGACGUCCGAGUUGUAAUUUGUAGAGGAUGCUUCUGAGUAACCACCGACCUAAGUUCCUUGGAACAGGACGUCAUAGAGGGUGAGAAUCCCGUAUGCGGUCGGAAAGGUGCUCUAUACGUAGCUCCUUCGACGAGUCGAGUUGUUUGGGAAUGCAGCUCUAAAUGGGAGGUAAAUUUCUUCUAAAGCUAAAUAUUGGCCAGAGACCGAUAGCGCACAAGUAGAGUGAUCGAAAGAUGAAAAGCACUUUGGAAAGAGAGUUAAAAAGCACGUGAAAUUGUUAAAAGGGAAGGGAUUGCAACCAGACUUGCUCGCGGUGUUCCGCCGGUCUUCUGACCGGUCUACUCGCCGCGUUGCAGGCCAGCAUCGUCUGGUGCCGCUGGAUAAGACUUGAGGAAUGUAGCUCCCUCGGGAGUGUUAUAGCCUCUUGUGAUGCAGCGAGCGCCGGGCGAGGUCCGCGCUUCGGCUAGGAUGCUGGCGUAAUGGUCGUAAUCC
Molecule: ribosomal RNA, 527 nt
Filed under: Cladosporium cladosporioides
Lineage: Eukaryota; Fungi; Ascomycota; Dothideomycetes; Cladosporiales; Cladosporiaceae
Description: eukaryotic LSU rRNA
Rfam family: Eukaryotic large subunit ribosomal RNA
Source: RNAcentral